This 2205-nucleotide ribosomal RNA is filed under the name Salmonella enterica subsp. enterica serovar Agona. RNAcentral's name for it is "partial 23S ribosomal RNA". It matches the Rfam family "Bacterial large subunit ribosomal RNA", at positions 681 to 2862 of the family's 2925-position model. The record is from RNAcentral. Lineage: Bacteria; Pseudomonadati; Pseudomonadota; Gammaproteobacteria; Enterobacterales; Enterobacteriaceae.
GUCUUAAUUGGGCGUUAAGUUGCAGGGUAUAGACCCGAAACCCGGUGAUCUAGCCAUGGGCAGGUUGAAGGUUGGGUAACACUAACUGGAGGACCGAACCGACUAAUGUUGAAAAAUUAGCGGAUGACCUGUGGCUGGGGGUGAAAGGCCAAUCAAACCGGGAGAUAGCUGGUUCUCCCCGAAAGCUAUUUAGGUAGCGCCUCGUGAAUUCAUCUCCGGGGGUAGAGCACUGUUUCGGCUAGGGGGCCAUCCCGGCUUACCAACCCGAUGCAAACUGCGAAUACCGGAGAAUGUUAUCACGGGAGACACACGGCGGGUGCUAACGUCCGUCGUGAAGAGGGAAACAACCCAGACCGCCAGCUAAGGUCCCAAAGUCAUGGUUAAGUGGGAAACGAUGUGGGAAGGCCCAGACAGCCAGGAUGUUGGCUUAGAAGCAGCCAUCAUUUAAAGAAAGCGUAAUAGCUCACUGGUCGAGUCGGCCUGCGCGGAAGAUGUAACGGGGCUAAACCAUGCACCGAAGCUGCGGCAGCGACACUGUGUGUUGUUGGGUAGGGGAGCGUUCUGUAAGCCUGUGAAGGUGGCCUGUGAGGGUUGCUGGAGGUAUCAGAAGUGCGAAUGCUGACAUAAGUAACGAUAAAGCGGGUGAAAAGCCCGCUCGCCGGAAGACCAAGGGUUCCUGUCCAACGUUAAUCGGGGCAGGGUGAGUCGACCCCUAAGGCGAGGCCGAAAGGCGUAGUCGAUGGGAAACGGGUUAAUAUUCCCGUACUUGGUGUUACUGCGAAGGGGGGACGGAGAAGGCUAUGUUGGCCGGGCGACGGUUGUCCCGGUUUAAGCGUGUAGGUGUGUGUUCCAGGUAAAUCCGGUUCACUUUAACACUGAGGCGUGAUGACGAGGCACUACGGUGCUGAAGCAACAAAUGCCCUGCUUCCAGGAAAAGCCUCUAAGCAUCAGGUAACAUCAAAUCGUACCCCAAACCGACACAGGUGGUCAGGUAGAGAAUACCAAGGCGCUUGAGAGAACUCGGGUGAAGGAACUAGGCAAAAUGGUGCCGUAACUUCGGGAGAAGGCACGCUGACACGUAGGUGAAGUGAUUUACUCAUGGAGCUGAAGUCAGUCGAAGAUACCAGCUGGCUGCAACUGUUUAUUAAAAACACAGCACUGUGCAAACACGAAAGUGGACGUAUACGGUGUGACGCCUGCCCGGUGCCGGAAGGUUAAUUGAUGGGGUCAGCGCAAGCGAAGCUCCUGAUCGAAGCCCCGGUAAACGGCGGCCGUAACUAUAACGGUCCUAAGGUAGCGAAAUUCCUUGUCGGGUAAGUUCCGACCUGCACGAAUGGCGUAAUGAUGGCCAGGCUGUCUCCACCCGAGACUCAGUGAAAUUGAACUCGCUGUGAAGAUGCAGUGUACCCGCGGCAAGACGGAAAGACCCCGUGAACCUUUACUAUAGCUUGACACUGAACAUUGAGCCUUGAUGUGUAGGAUAGGUGGGAGGCUUUGAAGUGUGGACGCCAGUCUGCAUGGAGCCGACCUUGAAAUACCACCCUUUAAUGUUUGAUGUUCUAACGUGGACCCGUAAUCCGGGUUGCGGACAGUGUCUGGUGGGUAGUUUGACUGGGGCGGUCUCCUCCUAAAGAGUAACGGAGGAGCACGAAGGUUGGCUAAUCCUGGUCGGACAUCAGGAGGUUAGUGCAAUGGCAUAAGCCAGCUUGACUGCGAGCGUGACGGCGCGAGCAGGUGCGAAAGCAGGUCAUAGUGAUCCGGUGGUUCUGAAUGGAAGGGCCAUCGCUCAACGGAUAAAAGGUACUCCGGGGAUAACAGGCUGAUACCGCCCAAGAGUUCAUAUCGACGGCGGUGUUUGGCACCUCGAUGUCGGCUCAUCACAUCCUGGGGCUGAAGUAGGUCCCAAGGGUAUGGCUGUUCGCCAUUUAAAGUGGUACGCGAGCUGGGUUUAGAACGUCGUGAGACAGUUCGGUCCCUAUCUGCCGUGGGCGCUGGAGAACUGAGGGGGGCUGCUCCUAGUACGAGAGGACCGGAGUGGACGCAUCACUGGUGUUCGGGUUGUCAUGCCAAUGGCACUGCCCGGUAGCUAAAUGCGGAAGAGAUAAGUGCUGAAAGCAUCUAAGCACGAAACUUGCCCCGAGAUGAGUUCUCCCUGAGACUUAGAGUCUCCUGAAGGAACGUUGAAGACGACGACGUUGAUAGGCC